AUUGAACGCUGGCGGCAUGCCUUACACAUGCAAGUCGAACGGUAACGGGCCUUCGGGUGCCGACGAGUGGCGAACGGGUGAGUAAUGUAUCGGAACGUACCUUUCAGUGGGGGAUAACGUAGCGAAAGUUACGCUAAUACCGCAUAUUCUGUGCGCAGGAAAGCAGGGGAUCGCAAGACCUUGCGCUGAUUGAGCGGCCGAUAUCAGAUUAGCUAGUUGGUGAGGUAAAGGCUCACCAAGGCGACGAUCUGUAGCGGGUCUGAGAGGAUGAUCCGCCACACUGGAACUGAGACACGGUCCAGACUCCUACGGGAGGCAGCAGUGGGGAAUUUUGGACAAUGGGGGCAACCCUGAUCCAGCCAUGCCGCGUGAGUGAAGAAGGCCUCGGUGUAAG
RNAcentral lists this ribosomal RNA (394 nucleotides) under uncultured bacterium. Its description in RNAcentral is "bacterial SSU rRNA". It matches the Rfam family "Bacterial small subunit ribosomal RNA", at positions 30 to 429 of the family's 1533-position model. The record is from RNAcentral.